This 1341-nucleotide ribosomal RNA is filed under the name uncultured bacterium. Its description in RNAcentral is "partial 16S ribosomal RNA". It matches the Rfam family "Bacterial small subunit ribosomal RNA", at positions 28 to 1381 of the family's 1533-position model. The record is from RNAcentral.
GACGAACGCUGGCGGCGUGCUUAACACAUGCAAGUCGAACGGUAAGGCUCCAGCUUGCUGGGGUACACGAGUGGCGAACGGGUGAGUAACACGUGGGUGACCUGCCCUGCACUUCGGGAUAAGCCUGGGAAACUGGGUCUAAUACCGGAUAGGACCGCACCGUGAGGGUGUGGUGGAAAGUUUUUUCGGUGUGGGAUGGGCCCGCGGCCUAUCAGCUUGUUGGUGGGGUAAUGGCCUACCAAGGCGGCGACGGGUAGCCGGCCUGAGAGGGUGGACGGCCACAUUGGGACUGAGACACGGCCCAGACUCCUACGGGAGGCAGCAGUGGGGAAUAUUGCACAAUGGGCGGAAGCCUGAUGCAGCGACGCCGCGUGGGGGAUGACGGCCUUCGGGUUGUAAACUCCUUUCACCAUCGACGAAGGGUUUCUGACGGUAGAUGGAGAAGAAGCACCGGCUAACUACGUGCCAGCAGCCGCGGUAAUACGUAGGGUGCGAGCGUUGUCCGGAAUUACUGGGCGUAAAGAGCUCGUAGGUGGUUUGUCGCGUCGUCUGUGAAAUUCCGGGGCUUAACUCCAGGCGUGCAGGCGAUACGGGCAUAACUUGAGUACUGUAGGGGAGACUGGAAUUCCUGGUGUAGCGGUGAAAUGCGCAGAUAUCAGGAGGAACACCGGUGGCGAAGGCGGGUCUCUGGGCAGUAACUGACGCUGAGGAGCGAAAGCAUGGGGAGCGAACAGGAUUAGAUACCCUGGUAGUCCAUGCCGUAAACGGUGGGCGCUAGGUGUGGGUUUCCUUCCACGGGAUCCGUGCCGUAGCUAACGCAUUAAGCGCCCCGCCUGGGGAGUACGGCCGCAAGGCUAAAACUCAAAGGAAUUGACGGGGGCCCGCACAAGCGGCGGAGCAUGUGGAUUAAUUCGAUGCAACGCGAAGAACCUUACCUGGGCUUGACACAUACAGGAUCGCGCCAGAGAUGGUGUUUCCCUUGUGGCUUGUAUACAGGUGGUGCAUGGUUGUCGUCAGCUCGUGUCGUGAGAUGUUGGGUUAAGUCCCGCAACGAGCGCAACCCUUGUCUUAUGUUGCCAGCACGUUGUGGUGGGGACUCGUAAGAAACUGCCGGGGUUAACUCGGAGGAAGGUGGGGAUGACGUCAAAUCAUCAUGCCCCUUAUGUCCAGGGCUUCACACAUGCUACAAUGGUCGGUACAGUGGGUCGCCAGUCCGUGAGGGCGAGCUAAUCCCGCAAAGCCGGUCUCAGUUCGGAUCGGGGUCUGCAACUCGACCCCGUGAAGUCGGAGUCGCUAGUAAUCGCAGAUCAGCAACGCUGCGGUGAAUACGUUCCCGGGCCU